UACGGAGGAUGCAAGCGCUAUCCGGAUUUAUUGGGCGUAAAGCGUCCGCAGGUGGCUAUUCAAGUCUGCUGUCAAAGCUCGGAGCUUAACUCCGAAUCGGCGGUGGAAACUGAACAGCUAGAGUGCAGUAGGGGUAGAGGGAAUUCCCAGUGUAGCGGUGAAAUGCGUAGAGAUUGGGAAGAACACCGGUGGCGAAAGCGCUCUACUGGGCCUGCACUGACACUCAUGGACGAAAGCUAGGGGAGCGAAAGGG
RNAcentral lists this ribosomal RNA (253 nucleotides) under uncultured bacterium. RNAcentral describes it as "partial 16S ribosomal RNA". It matches the Rfam family "Bacterial small subunit ribosomal RNA", at positions 524 to 776 of the family's 1533-position model. The record is from RNAcentral.